This 465-nucleotide ribosomal RNA is filed under the name uncultured bacterium. Its description in RNAcentral is "partial 16S ribosomal RNA". It matches the Rfam family "Bacterial small subunit ribosomal RNA", at positions 28 to 507 of the family's 1533-position model. The record is from RNAcentral.
GACGAACGCUGGCGGCGUGCUUAACACAUGCAAGUCGAACGGUAAGGCUCCAGCUUGCUGGGGUACACGAGUGGCGAACGGGUGAGUAACACGUGGGUGACCUGCCCUGCACUUCGGGAUAACCCGGGGCAACUGGGUCUAAUACCGGAUAGGACCGCACCGUGAGGGUGGGGUGUCAAGUUUUUUCGGUGUGGGAUGGGCUCGCGGCCUAUCAGCUUGUUGGUGGGGUAAUGGCCUACCAAGGCGGCGACGGGUAGCCGGCCUGAGAGGGUGGACGGCGACAUUGGGACUGAGAGACGGAGCAGACGGCUACGGGAGGCAGCAGUGGGGAAUAUUGCACAAUGGGCGGAAGCCUGAUGCAGCGACGCCGCGUGGGGGAUGACGGCCUUCGGGGUGUAAACGCCUGUCACCAUAGACGAAGGGUUUUUGACGGUAGAAGGAGAAGAAGCACCGGCUAACUACGUG